RNAcentral lists this ribosomal RNA (468 nucleotides) under uncultured bacterium. Its description in RNAcentral is "partial 16S ribosomal RNA". It matches the Rfam family "Bacterial small subunit ribosomal RNA", at positions 28 to 507 of the family's 1533-position model. The record is from RNAcentral.
GACGAACGCUGGCGGCGUGCUUAACACAUGCAAGUCGAACGGAAAGGCCCUGCUUUUGUGGGGUGCUCGAGUGGCGAACGGGUGAGUAACACGUGAGUAUCCUGCCCUUGACUUUGGGGUAACUUCAGGAAACUGGGGCUAAUACCGGACAGGAGCUCCUGCUGCAUGGUGGGGGUUGGAAAGUUUCGGCGGUUGGGGAUGGACUCGCGGCUUAUCAGCUUGUUGGUGGGGUAGUGGCUUACCAAGGCUUUGACGGGUAGCCGGCCUGAGAGGGUGACCGGCGUCAUGGGGACUGAGAUACGGCCCAGACUGCUACGGGAGGCAGCAGUGGGGAAUAUGGCACAGUGGGCGGAAGCGUGAUGCAGCAACGCCGCGUGCGGGAUGACGGCCUUCGGGUUGUAAACCGCUUUCGCCUGUGACGAAGCGUGAGUGACGGUAAUGGGUAAAGAAGCACCGGCUAACUACGUG